GAGCAUGAUGGCUCUGUUUUUCUCAAUGUCCAGCAGGCUUAAACCAAUAUUCCUUGUCUUCAAUUCAUUGCUCAGAGGUGACCCAGAUGAGCAAAGAGUAUGAUAAAAGAUUUCCUUUUGUCUGUAUAAAUACUUCAGGAUUGCUUCAUGUGUGUGAAGAGAAAACAAAAGUUGCAUGGUAGGAGCUGACUUAGAUUUUGUUAGAUACCCACCCCUUGUAUCUGAUAAAAUAUGAGGAUUCCAGCAUUAAGGCGGGGGAA
This 260-nucleotide long non-coding RNA is filed under the name Anas platyrhynchos platyrhynchos (common mallard). Its description in RNAcentral is "lncRNA (ENSAPLG00000029459.1)". Lineage: Eukaryota; Metazoa; Chordata; Aves; Anseriformes; Anatidae. The record is from RNAcentral.